CUUAACCUACAGACUGCGUUUGAAACUGUAUAUCUUGAGAGCAGCAGAGGAAGGCGGAAUUCCUGGUGUAGUGGUGAAAUACGUAGAUAUCAGGAAGAACACCAGUGGCGAAGGCGGUCUUCUGGGCUGCAUCUGACGCUCAUGUACGAAAGCUGGGGUAGCGAACGGGAUUAGAUACCCCGGUAGUCCCAGCUGUAAACGAUGGACACUAGGUGUUGGAGGUUCGAAUCCUUCAGUGCCGGAGUUAACGCAUUAAGUGUCCCGCCUGGGGAAUACGGUCGCAAGACUGAAACUCAAAGGAAUUGACGGGGGCCCGCACAAGCGGUGGAGCAUGUGGUUUAAUUCGAUGCAACGCGAAGAACCUUACCAGCCCUUGACAUGCUCGGUUCCGGGUCCGGGAGAUCGGACCUUUCANUUCGGCUGGGCCG
RNAcentral lists this ribosomal RNA (428 nucleotides) under uncultured bacterium. Its description in RNAcentral is "bacterial SSU rRNA". It matches the Rfam family "Bacterial small subunit ribosomal RNA", at positions 608 to 1029 of the family's 1533-position model. The record is from RNAcentral.